RNAcentral lists this ribosomal RNA (1491 nucleotides) under uncultured bacterium. Its description in RNAcentral is "bacterial SSU rRNA". It matches the Rfam family "Bacterial small subunit ribosomal RNA". The record is from RNAcentral.
AGAGUUUGAUCCUGGCUCAGAUUGAACGCUGGCGGCAUGCCUAACACAUGCAAGUCGCGCGGACGGUAGCAAUACCGUUAGCGGCGGACGGGUGAGGAAUACAUAGGAAUUUGCCUUAGAGCGGGGGAUAGCCCAGGGAAACUUGGAGUAAUACCGCAUGAUGUCGAAAGACCAAAGCUGGGGACCGCAAGGCCUAGCACUCUAAGAGAAGCCUAUGUCUGAUUAGCUAGUUGGUAGGGUAAUGGCCUACCAAGGCGACGAUCAGUAACUGGUCUGAGAGGACGAUCAGUCACACUGGAACUGAGACACGGUCCAGACUCCUACGGGAGGCAGCAGUGGGGAAUAUUGGACAAUGGGCGCAAGCCUGAUCCAGCAAUGCCGCGUGUGUGAAGAAGGCCUUCGGGUUGUAAAGCACUUUAAGCAGGGAAGAAAAAAUUCAAGCUAAUAUCUUGAGUCUUGACGGUACCUGAAGAAUAAGCACCGGCUAACUCUGUGCCAGCAGCCGCGGUAAUACAGAGGGUGCGAGCGUUAAUCGGAUUUACUGGGCGUAAAGCGUGUGUAGGUGGUUGCUCAAGUCGGUUGUGAAAUCCCCGGGCUCAACCUGGGAACUGCUUCCGAGACUGAACGACUAGAGUACGGUAGAGGGCGGUGGAAUUUCCGGUGUAGCGGUGAAAUGCGUAGAUAUCGGAAGGAACACCAAUGGCGAAGGCAGCCGCCUGGGCCUGUACUGACACUGAGACACGAAAGCGUGGGGAUCAAACAGGAUUAGAUACCCUGGUAGUCCACGCCGUAAACGAUGAGAACUUGACGUCGGUUUGCUCUGCAAGUCGGUGUCGUAGCUAACGCGAUAAGUUCUCCGCCUGGGGAGUACGGCCGCAAGGUUGAAACUCAAAGGAAUUGACGGGGGCCCGCACAAGCGGUGGAGUAUGUGGUUUAAUUCGAUGCAACGCGAAGAACCUUACCUGGGCUUGACAUGCUAGGAAUCCUGCAGAGAUGUGGGAGUGCCCGCAAGGGAACCUAGACACAGGUGCUGCAUGGCUGUCGUCAGCUCGUGUCGUGAGAUGUUGGGUUAAGUCCCGCAACGAGCGCAACCCUUGUGACUAGUUGCCAGCGGGUAAUGCCGGGAACUCUAGUCAGACUGCCCAGAUCAACUGGGAGGAAGGUGGGGACGACGUCAGGUCAGUAUGGCCCUUACGCCUUGGGCUGCACACGUACUACAAUGCCCAGUACAAUGAGAACCGAUGCCGCGAGGUGGAGGAAAUCUGUAAAACUGGGCCCAGUUCGGAUUGGAGGCUGCAACUCGCCUCCAUGAAGUUGGAAUCGCUAGUAAUGGCGCAUCAUCUACGGCGCCCUGAAUACGUUCCCGGGUCUUGUACACACCGCCCGUCACAUCAUGGAAGCCGGUCGCACCCGAAGUGCCUGUACCAACCGCAAGGGGGUAGGGUCCUAAGGUGUAGCUGGUAACUGGGAUGAAGUCGUAACAAGGUAACC